This 216-nucleotide long non-coding RNA is filed under the name Elaeis guineensis (African oil palm). RNAcentral describes it as "long non-coding RNA (EGUI_LNC062413)". The record is from RNAcentral. Lineage: Eukaryota; Viridiplantae; Streptophyta; Magnoliopsida; Arecales; Arecaceae.
GAGUUAUCGUGUGAUUCGGUUCUUCUUUCAUGAGUCCCGACUUGAUAGAGGUCAUGGAGAACUCAUCAAACCCUAUCGUUAGUCAUAUGUUAGGCUAGCUUGACUCGAGUUCACUUGUGAAUCUCAUAGAAACUCUCUUCUAAUAUUCACACUUGUUUUGGCUCAAGACUUUUUGAACUCAGUCUCACAAAUUGCACAGGACUUUUUUUUUAAUCA